RNAcentral lists this ribosomal RNA (791 nucleotides) under uncultured archaeon. RNAcentral describes it as "bacterial SSU rRNA". It matches the Rfam family "Archaeal small subunit ribosomal RNA", at positions 1 to 793 of the family's 1478-position model. The record is from RNAcentral.
UUCCGGUUGAUCCUGCCGGAGGCCAUUGCUAUCGGAGUCCGAUUUAGCCAUGCUAGUCGAGCGAGGUUAGCCCUCGCGGCGAACAGCUCAGUAACACGUGGCCAAGCUACCCUGCAGAGGGGGACAGCGUCGGGAAACUGACGGGAAUCCCCCAUACCGGUCUCACGCUGGAAUGCCGAGACCGACAAACGCUCCGGCGCUGCAGGAUGCGGCUGCGGCCGAUUAGGUAGUCGGUGGGGUAACGGCCCACCGAGCCGAUAAUUGGUACGGGGUGUGAGAGCACGAGCCCGGAGACGGAAUCUGAGACAAGAUUCCGGGCCCUACGGGGCGCAGCAGGCGCGAAACCUUUACACUGCACGAACGUGCGAUAAGGGGACUCCGAGUGCGAGGGCAUACAGUCCUCGCUAUUGUGUACCGUAGGGUGGUACACGACCAAGAGCUGGGCAAGACCGGUGCCAGCCGCCGCGGUAAUACCGGCAGCUCGAGUGAUGGCCGAUUUUAUUGGGCCUAAAGCGUCCGUAGCUGGCCCUGCAAGUCCGUCGGGAAAUCCACUCGCCUAACGAGUGGGCGUCCGGCGGAAACUACAGGGCUUGGGACCGGAAGACUUGAGGGGUACGUCUGGGGUAGGAGUGAAAUCCUGUAAUCCUGGACGGACCGCCGAUAGCGAAAGCACCUCAAGACGACGGAUCCGACAGUGAGGGACGAAAGCUAGGGUCUCGAACCGGAUUAGAUACCCGGGUAGUCCUAGCUGUAAACGAUGUUCGCUAGAUGUGGCACAGGCUACCUGCCUG